AGAACGAACGCUGGCGGCAUGCCUAACACAUGCAAGUCGAACGAGACCUUCGGGUCUAGUGGCGCACGGGUGCGUAACGCGUGGGAAUCUGCCCUUAGGUUCGGAAUAACAGUUAGAAAUGACUGCUAAUACCGGAUAAUGUCUUCGGACCAAAGAUUUAUCGCCAAAGGAUGAGCCCGCGUAAGAUUAGCUAGUUGGUGGGGUAAAAGCCUACCAAGGCGACGAUCUUUAGCUGGUCUGAGAGGAUGAUCAGCCACACUGGGACUGAGACACGGCCCAGACUCCUACGGGAGGCAGCAGUGGGGAAUAGUUGGACAAUGGGCGAAAGCCUGAUCCAGCAAUGCCGCGUGAGUGAUGAAGGCCUUAGGUGUAAGCUUCGUUUACCCGGGAUGAUAAUGACAGUACCGGAGUAACGUAACGUCCCCGGCUAACCGUCCGUGACCCAGCCAGCCGAC
This 455-nucleotide ribosomal RNA is filed under the name uncultured soil bacterium. RNAcentral describes it as "bacterial SSU rRNA". It matches the Rfam family "Bacterial small subunit ribosomal RNA", at positions 26 to 516 of the family's 1533-position model. The record is from RNAcentral.